UGGGGAAUCUUGCACAAUGGGGGAAACCCUGAUGCAGCGACGCCGCGUGAGCGAUGAAGCCUUUCGGGGUGUAAAGCUCUUACGCCAGGGACGAUGAUGACGGUACCUGGAGAAGCAGCUGCGGCUAACUACGUGCCAGCAGCCGCGGUAAUACGUAGGCAGCAAGCGUUGUUCGGACUUACUGGGCGUAAAGCGGUCGUAGGCGGUUGGCUAAGUUUGGUGUGAAAACUCCCGGCUCAACUGGGAGGG
RNAcentral lists this ribosomal RNA (249 nucleotides) under uncultured Solibacteraceae bacterium. Its description in RNAcentral is "partial 16S ribosomal RNA". It matches the Rfam family "Bacterial small subunit ribosomal RNA", at positions 355 to 621 of the family's 1533-position model. Lineage: Bacteria; Pseudomonadati; Acidobacteriota; Terriglobia; Bryobacterales; Solibacteraceae. The record is from RNAcentral.